Molecule: ribosomal RNA, 467 nt
Filed under: uncultured bacterium
Lineage: Bacteria
Description: partial 16S ribosomal RNA
Rfam family: Bacterial small subunit ribosomal RNA
Source: RNAcentral
CGAACGCUGGCGGCGUGCUUAACACAUGCACAUCGAACGGUGAAGCGAGUGCUUGCACUCGUGGAUCAGUGGCGAACGGGUGAGUAACACGUGAGUAACCUGCCCAUCACUCUGGGAUAAGCACUGGAAACGGUGUCUAAUACUGGAUACGACCAACCCUUGCAUGGGGUGUUGGUGGAAAGAUUUAUCGGUGAUGGAUGGACUCGCGGCCUAUCAGCUUGUUGGCGGGGUAAUGGCCCACCAAGGCGACGACGGGUAGCCGGCCUGAGAGGGUGACCGGCCACACUGGGACUGAGACACGGCCCAGACUCCUACGGGAGGCAGCAGUGGGGAAUAUUGCACAAUGGGCGAAAGCCUGAUGCAGCGACGCCGCGUGAGGGAUGAAGGCCUUCGGGUUGUAAACCUCUUUCAGCAGGGAAGAAGCGAAAGUGACGGUACCUGCAGAAGAAGCACCGGCUAACUACGUG